GCAGUGGUGGCUCAAUGGUUAAGGCUCUGGGUUGCUCAUCAGAAGGUCGGGGGUUCAAGCCCCUGCACUGUC
Non-coding RNA from Pangasianodon gigas (Mekong giant catfish), 72 nucleotides. NCBI's taxonomy places the organism in Eukaryota, Metazoa, Chordata, Actinopteri, Siluriformes, Pangasiidae. The record is from the annotation of a GenBank genome assembly.